AUACGGAGGACGCGAGCGUUAUCCGGAUUCAUUGGGUUUAAAGGGAGCGCAGGCGGAGAUGCAAGCGUGACGUCAAAUUUCGGGGCUCAACCCCGUCUCGCGUCGCGAACUGCGUCCCUUGGUUGCGGGAAGGGGAGGCGGAACUCGUGGUGUAGCGGUGAAAUGCAUAGAUAUCACGAAGAACUCCGAUCGCGAAGGCAGCCUUCCGGCCCGUCAACGACGCUCAUGCUCGAAGGUGCGGGUAUCAAACAGGAUUAGAUACCCUGGUAGUCCGCACAGUAAACGAUGGACACCCGCGGUUUGGCCUGUAUGGCUGAGCCGCCAAGCGAAAGCGUUAAGUGUCCCACCUGGGGAGUACGCCGGCAACGGUGAAACUCAAAUGAAUUGGCGGGG
This 393-nucleotide ribosomal RNA is filed under the name uncultured bacterium. RNAcentral's name for it is "partial 16S ribosomal RNA". It matches the Rfam family "Bacterial small subunit ribosomal RNA", at positions 523 to 918 of the family's 1533-position model. The record is from RNAcentral.